This 497-nucleotide ribosomal RNA is filed under the name uncultured bacterium. Its description in RNAcentral is "partial 16S ribosomal RNA". It matches the Rfam family "Bacterial small subunit ribosomal RNA", at positions 28 to 507 of the family's 1533-position model. The record is from RNAcentral.
GAUGAACGCUGGCGGCGUGCCUAAUACAUGCAAGUCGAGCGAACGGACGAGAAGCUUGCUUCUCUGAUGUUAGCGGCGGACGGGUGAGUAACACGUGGAUAACCUACCUAUAAGACUGGGAUAACUUCGGGAAACCGUAGCUAAUACCGGAUAAUAUUUUGAACCGCAUGGUUCAAAAGUGAAAGACGGUCUUGCUGUCACUUAUAGAUGGAUCCGCGCUGCAUUAGCUAGUUGGUAGGGUAACGGCUUACCAAGGAAACGAUGCAUAGCCGACCUGAGAGGGUGAUCGGCCACACUGGAACUGAGACACGGUCCAGACUCCUACGGGAGGCAGCAGUAGGGAAUCUUCCGCAAUGGGCGAAAGCCUGACGGAGCAACGCCGCGUGAGUGAUGAAGGUCUUCUGAUCGUAAAACUCUGUUAUUAGGGAAGAACAUAUGUGUAAGUAACUGUGCACAUCUUGACGGUACCUAAUCAGAAAGCCACGGCUAACUACGUG